CCCUUUGACUGUAAUUUUCCUUUACCUACCGAAAUCUUAUAAAACGGCCCCACCCUUAUCUCCCUUCACUGACUCUUUUUUUGGACUCAGCCCACCUGCACCCAGGUGAUUAAAAGCUCUAUUGCUCACACAAAGCCUGUUUGGUGGUCUCUUCACACAGACGUGCAUGAAAUUUGGUGCCGUGACUCCGAUCGGGGGACCUCCCUUGGGAGAUCAAUCCCCUGUCCUCCUGCUCUUUGCUCUAUGAAAAAGAUCCACUUACAACCUCCGGUCCUCAGACCCACCAGCCCAAGGAACAUCUCACCAAUUUUAAAUCGGAGCCCUGCAAGAAUCCAAGUAAAUAAAGCUAAACCUUCACUACUGAAAACCAGCUUCUAGGUAACUCAUGUAUCAUACACCUUAUAUCCUUGCAUGGAUUCCCCAAAUCUAGUCUCUGAGGCCCUCAAUGUAUUGGAUGAUACCUGCCAAUACUGGAAAGGCCGUGUGACCACACACCAAGAAGCUAGCUGUCUGCAAGCCAGGAAGAGAGCCCUGACCAGUAAUCAAAUUGGCUGAAGCCUUGAUCUUGGACUCCUUGUCUCCAGAAAUGGCUGCUGUAGUAUCCUAGGGGUCCACUCCAGUCCCUGGUUACCUCGAAUUUUCCAGUCCCUGGAUGUCUCACCAGUGAAGGUUGUGAAACAGCAAAAAUGGCAGCCUGCACCCUCCUCUGGGAGCUCCAUCCCAAGAAGGUAGAAGAGUUAUCAGGUGACACUGGCUUCAGUUUCCACAAUAACAACUUGACUAUCAAUGCAAGAAGCAAUGCAUAAGGCUAGACCAGAUAGCCUGCUCUCGUGUGCUGACACUGGCCACACCUUGGGAAAAAAAUGUUGGCACUUCUUAGGAAGGAGCCAUCCAUGUCUGAAGAGAAGAAAUGAUAAUUAACUUCAUCAUGUGGAAAGCUUUAGAAGGAAGUAUCUUGUCCUUCUGUCCAAACCCGCCUCCUCCUCACCACCCCCAAUAAAAAUAAAAGCCAAACAAAUAAAACAUUA
Long non-coding RNA from Pan troglodytes (chimpanzee), 1028 nucleotides. RefSeq lists it as uncharacterized. The record is from RefSeq and is a predicted model, not a curated record. NCBI's taxonomy places the organism in Eukaryota, Metazoa, Chordata, Mammalia, Primates, Hominidae. The transcript has 7 exons.